This 44-nucleotide ribosomal RNA is filed under the name Acremonium sclerotigenum. Its description in RNAcentral is "partial 28S ribosomal RNA". Lineage: Eukaryota; Fungi; Ascomycota; Sordariomycetes; Hypocreales; Bionectriaceae. The record is from RNAcentral.
UCAGAUCAGGUAGGAAUACCCGCUGAACUUAAGCAUAUCAAUAA